UCCUUAUUUAACGGAAUGGUUAACUUUUCCGUUAUCUAAACUAAACAUCAUUAUUUAUUUACAAAAUAAAUUUCCACAUAUUAUCCUAGUUAUUGUUUUUUCUUUUAAUAACUAUUGAAUUUUCCUCUUCCUCCCCCUUCUUCAUCGUCAUAUUCUCUCAACUUUGCCCAAAUAAAAUUUUCAUCAAAAAUCCUAAAACACAACUUGUUUGCA
This 213-nucleotide long non-coding RNA is filed under the name Salvia miltiorrhiza (redroot sage). RNAcentral's name for it is "long non-coding RNA (SMIL_LNC001780)". Lineage: Eukaryota; Viridiplantae; Streptophyta; Magnoliopsida; Lamiales; Lamiaceae. The record is from RNAcentral.